AUUGAACGCUGGCGGCAGGCCUAACACAUGCAAGUCGAGCGGAUGAAGGGAGUUGCUCCUGGAUUCAGCGGCGGACGGGUGAGUAAUGCCUAGGAAUCUGCCUGGUAGUGGGGGAUAACGUCCGGAAACGGGCGCUAAUACCGCAUACGUCCUGAGGGAGAAAGUGGGGGAUCUUCGGACCUCACGCUAUCAGAUGAGCCUAGGUCGGAUUAGCUAGUUGGGGGGGUAAAGGCCUACCAAGGCGACGAUCCGUAACUGGUCUGAGAGGAUGAUCAGUCACACUGGAACUGAGACACGGUCCAGACUCCUACGGGAGGCAGCAGUGGGGAAUAUUGGACAAUGGGCGAAAGCCUGAUCCAGCCAUGCCGCGUGUGUGAAGAAGGUCUUCGGAUUGUAAAGCACUUUAAGUUGGGAGGAAGGGCAGUAAGUUAAUACCUUGCUGUUUUGACGUUACCAACAGAAUAAGCACCGGCUAACUUCGUG
Molecule: ribosomal RNA, 483 nt
Filed under: uncultured bacterium
Lineage: Bacteria
Description: partial 16S ribosomal RNA
Rfam family: Bacterial small subunit ribosomal RNA
Source: RNAcentral